This 468-nucleotide ribosomal RNA is filed under the name uncultured bacterium. RNAcentral describes it as "partial 16S ribosomal RNA". It matches the Rfam family "Bacterial small subunit ribosomal RNA", at positions 28 to 507 of the family's 1533-position model. The record is from RNAcentral.
GACGAACGCUGGCGGCGUGCUUAACACAUGCCAGUCGAACGGAAAGGCCCUGCUUUGGUGGGGUGCUCGAGUGGCGAACGGGUGGGUAACACGGGAGUAACCUGCCCUUGACUUUGGGAUAACUUCAGGAAACUGGGGCUAAUACCGGAUAGGAGCUCCUGCUGCAUGGUGGGGGUUGGAAAGUUUCGGCGGUUGGGGAUGGACUCGCGGCUUAUCAGCUUGUUGGUGGGGUAGUGGCUUACCAAGGCUUUGACGGGUAGCCGGCCUGAGAGGGUGACCGGCCACAUUGGGACUGAGAUACGGCCCAGACUCCUACGGGAGGCAGCAGUGGGGAAUAUUGCACAAUGGGCGGAAGCCUGAUGCAGCAACGCCGCGUGCGGGAUGACGGCCUUCGGGUUGUAAACCGCUUUCGCCUGUGACGAAGCGUGAGUGACGGUAAUGGGUAAAGAAGCACCGGCUAACUACGUG